CAGUCGCCACGGGAAAACGAAGGGUGCAAGCGUUAAUCGGAAUUACUGGGCGUAAAGCGCACGUAGGCGGCUUGGUAAGUUAGAGGUGAAAGCCCGGAGCUCAACUCCGGAGUUGCCUUUAAGACUGCCGAGCUAGUAGGUGAGAGAGGUAAGUGGAAUUCCGAGUGUAGAGGUGAAAUUCGUAGAUAUUCGGAAGAACACCAGUGGCGAAGGCGACUGACUGGACAAGUAUUGACGCUGAGGUGCGAAAGCGUGGGGAGCAAACAGGAUUAGAUACCCGCGUAGUCCCUGUCUCUUAUAC
This 301-nucleotide ribosomal RNA is filed under the name uncultured bacterium. Its description in RNAcentral is "partial 16S ribosomal RNA". It matches the Rfam family "Bacterial small subunit ribosomal RNA", at positions 509 to 807 of the family's 1533-position model. The record is from RNAcentral.